Long non-coding RNA from Varroa destructor (honeybee mite), 510 nucleotides. RefSeq lists it as uncharacterized. The record is from RefSeq and is a predicted model, not a curated record. Lineage: Eukaryota; Metazoa; Arthropoda; Arachnida; Mesostigmata; Varroidae.
UUUGUCUCUCGAUUUUUAGCCUUUCGAGAAAAUAGCGAAGGACGCUGGCUAAAAGAAUGAGAGAUAAAUAAUAUACGACAGUCGCUGCGAGUUGGCGGAGAGAAGAAGUCAACGCUUUUUUACGGUGUUCCAGUCAUGUGCGAUUAGCGUUGUGAACGAAACGAAGCUAAUGAGUGAGCAGCGUGUGUUGGCGUACGUUAUUCGAAGAAACCGGUGCAGCAAGCGGCCUUGGAUUUAUCCGAUGCGCCAUUUCAGGCUCGUAGUUAAGCUCCCUUUCCAUUUGCGCUCACCUACAGACACGGCAAAACUCUUUGAUCAUAUAUGUGCUUAAGGCGCGGGAGAUGUCCGUGUCCUUAUGAUUCCUAGAUACGUCUGCCUGCGAGAGGAGUCCGUGCGCUUCUGCCGUACUAUUAGUAGAUCGAAGUUCGUACCCGUUCUAUACCGUACCCUGUCUGUACGUUCGCGGGUGCUUCCGGUUGCCUGCUGUCGUCCAUGGAAGCGCCGACUGCG